UAAAUUAAAGCCAAAAAGAGGCAUUUUAUUGUUAAUAAAAUUAUUGAAUAUAAUUCUAAUUUAA
RNAcentral lists this transfer RNA (64 nucleotides) under Melipona scutellaris. RNAcentral's name for it is "tRNA-Asn". Lineage: Eukaryota; Metazoa; Arthropoda; Insecta; Hymenoptera; Apidae. RNAcentral also lists the same sequence under 1 other name. The record is from RNAcentral.